RNAcentral lists this ribosomal RNA (431 nucleotides) under Pseudomonas monteilii. RNAcentral's name for it is "bacterial SSU rRNA". It matches the Rfam family "Bacterial small subunit ribosomal RNA", at positions 80 to 507 of the family's 1533-position model. The record is from RNAcentral. Lineage: Bacteria; Pseudomonadati; Pseudomonadota; Gammaproteobacteria; Pseudomonadales; Pseudomonadaceae.
UUGCUCCUUGAUUCAGCGGCGGACGGGUGAGUAAUGCCUAGGAAUCUGCCUGGUAGUGGGGGACAACGUUUCGAAAGGAACGCUAAUACCGCAUACGUCCUACGGGAGAAAGCAGGGGACCUUCGGGCCUUGCGCUAUCAGAUGAGCCUAGGUCGGAUUAGCUAGUUGGUGGGGUAAUGGCUCACCAAGGCGACGAUCCGUAACUGGUCUGAGAGGAUGAUCAGUCACACUGGAACUGAGACACGGUCCAGACUCCUACGGGAGGCAGCAGUGGGGAAUAUUGGACAAUGGGCGAAAGCCUGAUCCAGCCAUGCCGCGUGUGUGAAGAAGGUCUUCGGAUUGUAAAGCACUUUAAGUUGGGAGGAAGGGCAGUAAGUUAAUACCUUGCUGUUUUGACGUUACCGACAGAAUAAGCACCGGCUAACUCUGUG